GAUGAACGCUGGCGGCAUGCCUAACACAUGCAAGUCGAUCGGUAAGGCUCUUCGGAGUACACGAGAGGCGGACGGCUGAGUAACGCGUAGGAACACACCCUGCAGUGAGGGAUAAGACACCGAAAGGUGUUCUAAUACCGCAUACGGUCUUCGGAUUAAAGCAUUUAUGCGCUGAAGGAGUGGCCUGCGUCAUAUUAGAUAGUUGGUGAGGUAAUGGCUCACCAAGUCGAUGAUGUGUAGCUGGUCUGAGAGGAUGAUCAGCCAGACUGGAACUGAGACACGGUCCAGACUCCUACGGGAGGCAGCAGUGAGGAAUAUUUCACAAUGAGCGAAAGCUUGAUGGAGCAAUGCUGCGUGCAGGAUGAAGGCCCUCGGGUUGUAAACUGCUUUUAUAAGAGAAGAUUAUGACGGUAACUUAUGAAUAAGGGACGGCUAACUACGUG
RNAcentral lists this ribosomal RNA (443 nucleotides) under uncultured bacterium. RNAcentral's name for it is "partial 16S ribosomal RNA". It matches the Rfam family "Bacterial small subunit ribosomal RNA", at positions 28 to 507 of the family's 1533-position model. The record is from RNAcentral.